UACGUAGGGGACAAGCGUUAUCCGGAUUUACUGGGCGUAAAGCGCCCGUAGGCGGCUUUGUAAGUUGGACGUGAAAGCUCCCGGCUUAACUGGGAGAGGCCGUUCAAAACUGUAGAGCUAGAGUGAGGCAGAGGAGUGCGGAAUUCCCGGUGUAGUGGUGGAAUGCGUAGAUAUCGGGAGGAACACCAGUGGCGAAAGCGGCACUCUGGGCCUAAACUGACGCUGAGGGGCGAAAGCGUGGGGAGCGAACGGG
Molecule: ribosomal RNA, 253 nt
Filed under: uncultured bacterium
Lineage: Bacteria
Description: partial 16S ribosomal RNA
Rfam family: Bacterial small subunit ribosomal RNA
Source: RNAcentral